GAUGAUUCAUGCAAUUCUCUGUCACACAUGGUUGGUCAAAGACUGAUUCAAAAGCCCGUCAAGAACAACUUCAAAAAUAUAAACUAUCAGCACAACCUUUCAAAGCCUUAUUGGCCUUUAAAGGCUCUGCAGACUUCUGCUGAUAGUUUAUAUUCUUAUAUUUGUUCUUGGACGGCUUUUGAAUCAGCCUUGACCAGCCCUGUAAGACCAGGAACUGCAUAGAUGGCUCGUAGGGCUCGCCGAUAUGAUUCUGAAGAAAAAACAUUGAUGAAAAUGCCGGUGCUCAAGAUACACCAAAAACAAGUCAAUGGGGAUAACUGAACAAAACAAAACUUUCAAGUUGCAGAACCAAUCUGAAAGAGAACACAAGGGAAAAUUCAUCACACAUUGUUCUUCAAAGGUAAAAUCAAAUUAACCACUUGUAUCUUGUGAAUUAUAACAAGAAGUGAUAUAAUGAGCCCAUCUGCGGGCCAAACCUAAUUCUCCUGUAAUCUUUUGUAGUUAUAUUCCUACCAGUCAGAUCCUUCAGGGAAAGGCUCCAAUGCAUCGUGCUUUCCAUUAACAUAGAAUUCUACAACAGCUUUCAUUCUUGGAAGUUUAUCUGGGUGGUAGUUUACAUGAACAAUUACUGGCUUCAACUUCUUUAGCCUAGCAUCUUUCCUCACAGUCUUGAAAAGGACCUUACUGUUCAUAAAUAGAUAGAAAUCCAUAGUUCUCUUGGCAGCAUGAAGCCCAUCAUACCCAGGAUGUGAAGGGAAAAAGAGCUCCUCGUUGAACACUGCUUGGUCCCAUGAGUUUCGCUGCUGAGACAAACGAUCAGCCACACGAUCCAAAAGCUCAAUUGAAGGAAUUGUAGGCCUUAUAUAAAAGAAACCAGAGUUAUAAACCCAUAUCCUCAUUGUAUGA
This 906-nucleotide unclassified non-coding RNA is filed under the name Hevea brasiliensis (rubber tree). The record is from RNAcentral. Lineage: Eukaryota; Viridiplantae; Streptophyta; Magnoliopsida; Malpighiales; Euphorbiaceae.